UACAGAGGGUGCUAGCGUUGUUCGGAAUCAUUGGGCGUAAAGGGCGUGUAGGCGGUUUUGUUAAGUCAUGUGUGAAAUCCCUCGGCUCAACCGGGGAACGACGCAUGAAACUGGCAAGCUAGAGUACCAAAGAGGGGGGUGGAAUUCCCGGUGUAGCGGUGAAAUGCGUAGAUAUCGGGAGGACACCUGUGGCGAAGGCGGCCCCCUGGUUGGAUACUGACGCUGAUACGCGAAAGCGUGGGGAGCAAACAGG
Molecule: ribosomal RNA, 253 nt
Filed under: uncultured bacterium
Lineage: Bacteria
Description: partial 16S ribosomal RNA
Rfam family: Bacterial small subunit ribosomal RNA
Source: RNAcentral